This 164-nucleotide ribosomal RNA is filed under the name uncultured Actinomyces sp. Its description in RNAcentral is "partial 16S ribosomal RNA". It matches the Rfam family "Bacterial small subunit ribosomal RNA", at positions 613 to 776 of the family's 1533-position model. The record is from RNAcentral. Lineage: Bacteria; Bacillati; Actinomycetota; Actinomycetes; Actinomycetales; Actinomycetaceae.
CUGGGGGCGUGCGGUGGGUACGGGCUGGCUUGAGUGCGGUAGGGGAGGCUGGAACUCCUGGUGUAGCGGUGGAAUGCGCAGAUAUCAGGAGGAACACCGGUGGCGAAGGCGGGUCUCUGGGCCGUUACUGACGCUGAGGAGCGAAAGCGUGGGGAGCGAACAGG